RNAcentral lists this ribosomal RNA (251 nucleotides) under uncultured prokaryote. Its description in RNAcentral is "partial 16S rRNA". It matches the Rfam family "Archaeal small subunit ribosomal RNA", at positions 475 to 726 of the family's 1478-position model. The record is from RNAcentral.
ACCGGCAGCUCAAGUGGUGGCCAUUAUUAUUGGGCCUAAAGCGUUCGUAGCCGGUUUGAUAAGUCUCUGGUGAAAUCCCGCAGCUUAACUGUGGGACUUGCUGGAGAUACUAUCAGACUUGAGGUCGGGAGAGGUUAGGGGUACUCCCAGGGUAGGGGUAAAAUCCUAUAAUCCUGGGAGGACAACCUGGGGCGAGGGCGCCUAACUGAAACGACCCGGCGGGUGAGAACGAAAGCCAGGGGCGCGAACCG